UGCAGUCGUACGCUUCUUUUUCCACCGGAGCUUGCUCCACCGGAAAAAGAAGAGUGGCGAACGGGUGAGUAACACGUGGGUAACCUGCCCAUCAGAAGGGGAUAACACUUGGAAACAGGUGCUAAUACCGUAUAACAAUCGAAACCGCAUGGUUUUGAUUUGAAAGGCGCUUUCGGGUGUCGCUGAUGGAUGGACCCGCGGUGCAUUAGCUAGUUGGUGAGGUAACGGCUCACCAAGGCCACGAUGCAUAGCCGACCUGAGAGGGUGAUCGGCCACAUUGGGACUGAGACACGGCCCAAACUCCUACGGGAGGCAGCAGUAGGGAAUCUUCGGCAAUGGACGAAAGUCUGACCGAGCAACGCCGCGUGAGUGAAGAAGGUUUUCGGAUCGUAAAACUCUGUUGUUAGAGAAGAACAAGGAUGAGAGUAACUGUUCAUCCCUUGACGGUAUCUAACCAGAAAGCCACGGCUAACUACGUGCCACACCGGU
Molecule: ribosomal RNA, 489 nt
Filed under: Enterococcus durans
Lineage: Bacteria; Bacillati; Bacillota; Bacilli; Lactobacillales; Enterococcaceae
Description: bacterial SSU rRNA
Rfam family: Bacterial small subunit ribosomal RNA
Source: RNAcentral